Long non-coding RNA from Pyrgilauda ruficollis (rufous-necked snowfinch), 543 nucleotides. RefSeq lists it as uncharacterized. Lineage: Eukaryota; Metazoa; Chordata; Aves; Passeriformes; Passeridae. The record is from RefSeq and is a predicted model, not a curated record. The transcript has 4 exons.
CCUCACUUUGGGUAAACAAACUCUGUAUUGCAUUCCACUUCAGCACAGCAAGAGAGGCAACAGAAGUUGUGGUACACAGCAUGAAAAUACGAAUACCUUCACUGUUAAUGAAGGAGGAAGGUUUAAAGCUGCUUGUGCCUUGGUAACCCACUCCGAAAUGAAGAACACCAUACCUUAUCUGGAUGUCUAAUUCAUUACUGCUGGUAAAGGCCUGGAGGACUGUGAACAGGCAUAUUUUUGCAAUCAGAUGUGGCUGAAGCCAUUCCUACCCAUCUGCACACACUUGGUGCUGGGGCAUUUGUUGGAAGGAGCACUUUUCACAUCCCUUCCUUCUUCCUUCUGUCACUGUGCUCCAGAGGAGGGAGGACAGCUUUGCUCCACCAAGGGCUCAGAGCUCCAGAAAAACUCUGAUUUCCUGCAAUCUACAAACUGCAGCUGACAAGAACCUUGUUAAAUCCAGCUCCCUCUAGAUGUGAAGAUGGUGUCCUCUAGAGUACUGAGGAGGAAGAAAAGCAAUAAAAAUAAAAAGGUUUGAAAAAAGAA